CAUAGUUUGCCAGCCUUCGUCGUUACAGGAACCACCAAUGAAAGAAACAUUCACACGAUGUACGUGCGUAAACAAAGAAACUGCCUCUUACGUGGACCCCACAGAAAGCCUAUAAAAGGCCCCUCUACCGACCACGCACGGUCGCCCUCGACCUCCACCCCCCUUUCUACGCUCUAAACAAAUCACCACUUUAAAUCUCAGCUCUCAUCGAACUUCCAAUCUCCAAUUCCAAUUUCAAACAACUCAGGAAACAUGAUCGAACAGAAACCGUACAUCAAGAAGAAGCUCCGGUCAAAACGACCUCGUUUGCUUCGAUCAAAGAUCUCUCCGGUACUUUACGACACCGAUACUAGAGGCGUCUCUGUAGUCUCCUGCGAUUCCAGCUCCUGCACUUACUUCGGUGGCGAUGAAGUUUCUUCUAGCUCAAGAAAGAGACAACUCGGUGAAGUUAUCGGAGUGACGAAGAAGACUGAAGAUGACGCGCGGUUGCGGAGGAUCACGAGGUCUUACUAUAAGCGACGGAAGGAAAAAGAUGAGGUUAGUGAGUCGUCUUGUGUUCUCACAAACUCCGGAACUGUUUUUGCAGAGGUAAGUUCCAAGUUCAAUGAAGGUUAUGAAGACGCCAAAGAAAAUGAACAAAACGGCGUUUCACGAUCCAAUGAUAUUUUCAGAAUCAGUGCUGGUAAUUGGAAAACUUCGUCGGAGAGGAAUGAAAACAACAUCGACGUUGUUUCAGUUCCUUCACGUGUUGAAAAUGAAAACAGAGCAUCACUAAGGCAUGAACUAUCUGAUAAUUUCAAAAACGAUGCUGCUAAUUCGUGUUUCAUGAUUUCAAAAUCGGAUUCUGUGGUGGACGAAAAGCCAAGCGGCCCUAAAUUCGAUUCCGAUCUCGCGUGUACGGAGGAGCUAUCAUACGACGAUGUAUGCGAGUGCUCUUCGAGUCAUGGUACUGUAUUUUCUGAGCUGCAAUUCGAUUUUUUCCCAGAGAAUGCGGACCCCAAUUUGUCGGAUUGCACUCGGUCUAUUUUCAAUUUUGAUUCUGAAAGCCAAUCGUCUGAGAUAUCUGUUGACUGUCCUAGCCCUCCGUCACUUACUUACUCUCUGUUCCUGGAGUUCAGUAAGCAGUUCUCAAGAUCGACUAUUCCUCUAGAUUCCAGAAAUUGUUCUAUAGUUCAAGAAAAGCAUCUACAUCAGUCUGCAUUGGUGACAUUCGUAAAUGAGGAGGACGAAGAGAGUUAUCAGAGGAUACGUGAAAGGGAGAGAAGACAAUUGUUCUUGUAUGACUACCCCGAUGAAUACCUUUCAAGUACAGAAUUCGGCAGUCUCAUUGUCCAACAACGGUCGGAGAUGGUCCACUGGAUCGUCGAGCAAUGCGGUGCCAAGGAGUUACAGCAGGAAACAAUGUUUCUUGGAGUUAGCCUUUUAGAUCGGUUUCUAAGCAGGGGUUUCUUCAAAACCAGAAAGAACCUUCAAAUUGUUGGAAUAGCCUGUCUUGUAUUGGCCACUAGACUUGAAGAAAAUCAGCCCUACAAUAGUGUGCGACAAAAUAUUUUCUGCGUAGGGAGCAACAUUUACAGCAAAAAUGAAGUGGUAGCCAUGGAGUGGUUGGUGCAGCAGGUCCUUAACUUUCAGUGUUUCUUGCCUACAAUUUAUAACUUUCUGUGGUACUACCUGAAAGCUGCCGGAGUUGACGCCGAACUGGAGAAGAUGGUCAAGUACUUGGCAGUUCUAGCUCUAUCAGACCAUGAGCAGCUGUCCUAUUGGCCCUCAACAGUUGCAGCUGGCCUUGUCAUCCUAGCUUCUCUAGAAAGCAGGGGAGAUUCCUCCUACCUAAAAGUCAUCGAGAUUCAUGUUAGAACAAAAGAUAAUGACUUACCUGAUUGCAUAAAGAGCCUGGAGUGGUUGGUACAGCAUAUAAGCUAGGUAGCUUACAAGGAGGAACCUGACAUGAACAUCGUGUUCUGUGUUUGCUACUGAAGGUAAAAAUCAAAAGAAAUCUUUGGAAACACACUCCAGUAAUAGGAAACAAAACGAGGAAGCUACUCCAUUGACUGAUGUUGUCCACACGACUUCAGAAAAGAAGGAACAGAACAUGAAAGCUACUACAUAAAAUCAGUCUGAAAUUCGGAGUAACUAGAAAAGAGUGAAAGAAAGUAAGAAUUUUACAUGAUCUUUGAACAAAUAAAAGAUCUCUUUAUUGGUAGUCAGUGCCAUUAUUUUGUAAAUGGCCAUGAAUGGAGGGAUUCAAAAUGAUAAAUCAAAUAAUACACCUCUAAAGGAUCAUCCGUCUCUUACUGCAAAUGGACAAUCAACAAUGCCAAGAUCAACCUACCUCAAAUCAUGACGCUACCCUUUAGACGUUCUUGCAAGAAUUGUUUUAUCUUGGAUGUUCAUUGCAAAUAGGAGGCAAUUCUCACGAGUUUCUUCAGCCAAUAGCUCAGCAAGACUUUUAUCUAGACUAUAACUUCAUCUACGAUUAAGAAUUGAGGCUCUAAUUUGUUCAAACUCGGGCCUCAUUUUCAUAAAAAAAUUGUGGACAACGAGAUUGUUGCUUAAAUAAUUACGGUUUCAAGAGCA
RNA transcript from Mangifera indica (mango), 2577 nucleotides. It is a transcript of the gene named cyclin-SDS, with no coding region annotated. The transcript has 8 exons. The record is from RefSeq and is a predicted model, not a curated record. Lineage: Eukaryota; Viridiplantae; Streptophyta; Magnoliopsida; Sapindales; Anacardiaceae.